Molecule: ribosomal RNA, 740 nt
Filed under: uncultured bacterium
Lineage: Bacteria
Description: bacterial SSU rRNA
Rfam family: Bacterial small subunit ribosomal RNA
Source: RNAcentral
ACUAUACAUGCAAGUCGAGCGAGCCGAACUAAUUGAUUACCUUCGGGUAUGAAGUUAGGGAAGCGAGCGGCGGAUGGGUGAGUAACACGUGGGUAACCUACCCUAUAGUCUGGGAUACCACUUGGAAACAGGUGCUAAUACCGGAUAAAAGGAGAGAUCACAUGAUUUCUUUUUGAAAGGCGGCGUAAGCUGUCGCUAAAGGAUGGACCCGCGGUGCAUUAGCUAGUUGGUAAGGUAACGGCUUACCAAGGCAACGAUGCAUAGCCGAGUUGAGAGACUGAUCGGCCACAUUGGGACUGAGACACGGCCCAAACUCCUACGGGAGGCAGCAGUGGGGAAUCUUCCACAAUGGACGCAAGUCUGAUGGAGCAACGCCGCGUGAGUGAAGAAGGUUUUCGGAUCGUAAAGCUCUGUUGUUGGUGAAGAAAGAUAGUGAGAGUAACCGCUCAUUAUUUGCCGGUAAUCAACCAGAAAGUCACGGCUAACUACGUGCCAGCAGCCGCGGUAAUACGUAGGUGGCAAGCGUUGUCCGGAUUUAUUGGGCGUAAAGCGAGCGCAGGCGGAAAGAUAAGUCAGAUGUGAAAGCCCUCGGCUUAACCGAGGAAUAGCAUCGGAAACUGUCUUUCUUGAGUGCAGAAGAGGAGAGUGGAACUCCAUGUGUAGCGGUGGAAUGCGUAGAUAUAUGGAAGAACACCAGUGGCGAAGGCGGCUCUCUGGUCUGUAACUGACGCUGAGGCUCG